This 49-nucleotide small RNA is filed under the name Arabidopsis thaliana (thale cress). RNAcentral describes it as "ATSL054610". Lineage: Eukaryota; Viridiplantae; Streptophyta; Magnoliopsida; Brassicales; Brassicaceae. The record is from RNAcentral.
GUAAGAAGAAGAAGAAAGAAAAAAAAAGGAAAAAAAAAAGGUGAAAAAA